Molecule: ribosomal RNA, 454 nt
Filed under: uncultured bacterium
Lineage: Bacteria
Description: bacterial SSU rRNA
Rfam family: Bacterial small subunit ribosomal RNA
Source: RNAcentral
GAUGAACGCUAGCGGCAGGCCUAAUACAUGCAAGACGAACGGUAAGUUGAGUAGCAAUACUUAGCCAAGAGUGUCGUACGGGUGCGUAACACGUAUGCAACCUACCCUAUACAGGAGGAUAGCCUAGGGAAACCUGGAUUAACCCUUCAUAGUAUUAUUGGAUGGCAUCAUUUGAUAAUUAAAACUGAGGUGGUAUAGGAUGGGCAUGCGUCUGAUUAGUUAGUUGGCGGGUAAUGGCCCACCAAGACGAUGAUCAGUAGGGGUUCUGAGAGGAAGAUCCCCCACACUGGCACUGAGAUACGGGCCAGACUCCUACGGGAGGCAGCAGUAGGGAAUAUUGGACAAUGGGCGAAAGCCUGAUCCAGCAAUGCCGCGUGAGUGAUGAAGGCCUUAGGGUUGUAAAGCUCUUUUACCCGGGAUGAUAAUGCAGUACCGGAGAAUAAGCCCGGCUAAC